UCGGCGGUUACUGGCCAACUUGCCAACCCUUAGCAAAACUAAGACAGCAGUGUACCAUCUCACCCAUCAAUGGAGUCUAUAUGUUUAAUUGCCCCUGCGAAGAUGGAGCGCGUUGCGAUACCAGGAUGUAUUUGUGUGUGCCGCCAUAUUCUGAUGGUUAUGCCUUUAUCAUGGGUCAGAAAAGUCGUAAAUUAGUAAAUAAGGAUUUACGCUCUGGUGUAGAGAAGGUCUCGGAAAAAAUAUAACAAUAAAAUGCUUAUCUUCUUGUA
This is a long non-coding RNA of Rhipicephalus sanguineus (brown dog tick), 269 nucleotides long. RefSeq lists it as uncharacterized. The record is from RefSeq and is a predicted model, not a curated record. The transcript has 2 exons. NCBI's taxonomy places the organism in Eukaryota, Metazoa, Arthropoda, Arachnida, Ixodida, Ixodidae.